RNAcentral lists this unclassified non-coding RNA (352 nucleotides) under soil metagenome. RNAcentral's name for it is "partial contains 5.8S ribosomal RNA, internal transcribed spacer 2, and large subunit ribosomal RNA". The stretch from base 1 to 120 matches the Rfam family "5.8S ribosomal RNA", at positions 35 to 154 of the family's 154-position model. The record is from RNAcentral.
GAUGAAGAACGCAGCGAAAUGCGAUAAGUAAUGUGAAUUGCAGAAUUCAGUGAAUCAUCGAAUCUUUGAACGCACAUUGCGCCCGCCAGUAUUCUGGCGGGCAUGCCUGUUCGAGCGUCAUUACAACCCUCAGGCCCCCGGGCCUGGCGUUGGGGAUCGGCGGAAGCCCCCUGUGGGCACACGCCGUCCCUCAAAUACAGUGGCGGUCCCGCCGCAGCUUCCAUUGCGUAGUAGCUAACACCUCGCAACUGGAGAGCGGCGCGGCCAUGCCGUAAAACACCCAUCUUCUGAAUGUUGACCUCGAAUCAGGUAGGAAUACCCGCUGAACUUAAGCAUAUCAAUAAGCGGAGGA